GUCACACGGAAUCGAGAGCUC
Molecule: small nuclear RNA, 21 nt
Filed under: Arabidopsis thaliana (thale cress)
Lineage: Eukaryota; Viridiplantae; Streptophyta; Magnoliopsida; Brassicales; Brassicaceae
Description: snRNA_16803
Source: RNAcentral